GGAAAAUCUAGCAAAGAAGAAACAGCGGGAGAGUAGAGCGAAUCGGAACUGGGGAGGAAUGAGGAAGGAGAGCUUCAGUUUUAAAAAGGGUGGUUUGGAAAUGGAUGCUCUGAGAGAUGAAGUUGUUUGCAGUGGCCAACCGGGUCGACAGGAUUUCAGAGUUCGUGGUCUGUUUGCCCUAUUCAGCAGGCUCCUGCAGCCCUCCUGGCCAGGACAGUGUGCACAUGACUCAAAAUGUCUGCUUUGGACAUAUUUCAGCCUCUGGUGUCUGGGCAGUCGGGGAUUUAUGGGCCAGCCAUCUCCCACGAUGAUCUCGGUGGUGCUGAACUGUGUGUCACCCCCAGCUGGCACUGUGGCUGCCCUCCCAGUGGGGAGGCCUCCUGCAGCCUGGGCCACAUCUGGAGCCUCGCCCAGUGUGGAGAAACUGAGGCCCACAGAGACAUGGGGCCAUGCCAGCUAGUGGAGGCAUAGCCAAUGGAGCUGGGCUCUCCAGGGCUGUGCUAACAGAGCCACAGCUCUCCCACCCCAGCUUGCAUGUGGAGCCCACUAAGGCCCGAAGGGGCUGGCCUGCCCAAGUUCACGGCUCUGCCGCAAGCUUGCUGCAGAUCACCAUCUCCUCCAUUCCUGGCCCCAACUCCCCUUGCAUAUGGAGCAAGGAAAGAUCUUUUGAAUGCUGAACGGGCCUGAGACACCUUCCUGAAGGAAAGCUGUCCUUGGAUCCAGGCAUUGUGACCUUGUUACUUCAUUUGGCCUUCAUGACCACCUGUCUAGGGCCUUCAUCAACCUCUUUUACAGAUGAGCCCUCUUGGAUGAUAAGUAAAUGGCAGCAUUUGGAUGUGACCCUGGUCUCUCUGAGCUUAGCUCUGGACUCCCCUCCCUCGUGCCCCUCUCAAACAAGCAAGAAGAAGGCAGGAGAGUAAGUUCUAAUCCUGGCUGUGCCACUGACUCCCUAUGUGGUCACAAUGAAGUCUUUUCCCUCUCAGCACCUCUGUUGCUAUACCUGCACAACGAGGAGCUUUGCUUGGCCAGGAAGAGGGCACAAUAGGUACAGAGUGCAGGUAUUUCUGGGCCCAUAGACAAGGAAGGGUGGGAGGAGGGGAGCAAUGGUGGACCCUCUUGGUUGACAAAUCUAAACAAUAAUAUGGAGCCUGAGAAAGCCAAAUACCAGCUCCC
This 1173-nucleotide long non-coding RNA is filed under the name Homo sapiens (human). RNAcentral describes it as "HSALNT0007006". The record is from RNAcentral. Lineage: Eukaryota; Metazoa; Chordata; Mammalia; Primates; Hominidae.